This 205-nucleotide microRNA precursor is filed under the name Oryza rufipogon (brownbeard rice). Its description in RNAcentral is "MIR812 microRNA precursor family". It matches the Rfam family "MIR812 microRNA precursor family". The record is from Rfam by way of RNAcentral. Lineage: Eukaryota; Viridiplantae; Streptophyta; Magnoliopsida; Poales; Poaceae.
UAUAAGUACAGCCAUGGUUUUCCGCGCCCAACUUUAACCGUCCGUCUUAUUUGAAAAAUUUUUAAAAAAAUUUAAAAACAUAAGUCACGAGUAAAGUACUAUUUAUAUUUUAUCAUCUCAUAACAAUAAAAAUACUAAUUAUAAAAAACUUUCAAAUAAGACGAACGAUCAAAGUUGGGCGCGGAAACUUAUGGUUGCACUUAUA